ACCUUAAAAUCAAUUUGAAAUUUUGACCUCAAAUCAGGCAGGAAUACCCGCUGAACUUAAGCAUAUCAAUAAGCGGAGGAAAAGAAACCAACAGGGAUUGCCUUAGUAACUGCGAGUGAAGCGGCAAGAGCUCAAAUUUGAAAUCUGGCAUCCGCCCGAAUUGUAAUUUGUAGAAGCAACUUUUGAACUAGUCCUUGCAUAUGUUCCUUGGAACAGGACAUCAUAGAGGGUGAGAAUCCCGUUCAUGGUGGGGAGUCUAGUUCUCUGUAAAGUGCUUUCGACGAGUCGAGUUGUUUGGGAAUGCAGCUCUAAGUGGGUGGUAAAUUCCAUCUAAAGCUAAAUAUUGGCGAGAGACCGAUAGCGAACAAGUACAGUGAUGGAAAGAUGAAAAGUACUCCGAAAGGAGAGUGAAAUAGGACGUGAAAUUGUUGAAAGGGAAGUGCUUGAGAUCAGUCAUAGAGUUUAGUGAUCAGCUUUCUUUUUAGUUUGUGCACUUGCUAUUCUCUAGGCCAGCAUCAGUUUGAGGAUUAGGAUAAUUGCAUAGGAAUGUGGCUGUUUCGGCAGUGUUAUAGCCUGUGUCGAUACUACUUUUCAGACUGAGGACCGCGCAUUUGCUAGGAUGUUGGCAUAAUGAUCUUAAGCAGCCCGUCUUGAAACACGGACCAAGGAGUCUAACAACUAUGCGAGUGUUUGGGUGUUAAACCCG
Molecule: ribosomal RNA, 706 nt
Filed under: Myxozyma mucilagina
Lineage: Eukaryota; Fungi; Ascomycota; Lipomycetes; Lipomycetales; Lipomycetaceae
Description: LSU rRNA
Rfam family: Eukaryotic large subunit ribosomal RNA
Source: RNAcentral